GGCGCUUUGGCGGAGUGGUUAUCGCGCUAGCCUAGAAAGCUAGUUCCUUCGGGAGCAAGAGUUCGAAUCUCUUAGGCGUCG
Molecule: transfer RNA, 81 nt
Rfam family: tRNA
About the family: Transfer RNA (tRNA) molecules are approximately 80 nucleotides in length. Their secondary structure includes four short double-helical elements and three loops (D, anti-codon, and T loops). Further hydrogen bonds mediate the characteristic L-shaped molecular structure. tRNAs have two regions of fundamental functional importance: the anti-codon, which is responsible for specific mRNA codon recognition, and the 3' end, to which the tRNAs corresponding amino acid is attached (by aminoacyl-tRNA synthetases). tRNAs cope with the degeneracy of the genetic code in two manners: having more than one tRNA (with a specific anti-codon) for a particular amino acid; and 'wobble' base-pairing, i.e. permitting non-standard base-pairing at the 3rd anti-codon position.
Source: Rfam